GACGAACGCUGGCGGCGUGCCUAAUACAUGCGAGUUGAGCGCUGAAGGUUGGUACUUGUACCAACUGGAUGAGCAGCGAACGGGUGAGUAACGCGUGGGGAAUCUGCCUUUGAGCGGGGGACAACAUUUGGAAACGAAUGCUAAUACCGCAUAAAAACUUUAAACACAAGUUUUAAGUUUGAAAGAUGCAAUUGCAUCACUCAAAGAUGAUCCCGCGUUGUAUUAGCUAGUUGGUGAGGUAAAGGCUCACCAAGGCGAUGAUACAUAGCCGACCGGAGAGGGUGGUCGGCCAGAGUGAGACGGAGUCAGGGCCCAAACUCAUACGGGAGGCAGCAGUAGGGAAGCUUCAGCGAUGGACGAGAGUAUGACCGAGCAAGGCCGCGUGAGUGAAGAAGGGUUUCGGAUCGUAAGUCUCUGUUGGUAGAGAAGAACGUUGGUGAGAGUGGAAAGCUCAUCAAGUGACGGUAACUACCCAGAAAGGGACGGCUAACUACGUG
Molecule: ribosomal RNA, 497 nt
Filed under: uncultured bacterium
Lineage: Bacteria
Description: partial 16S ribosomal RNA
Rfam family: Bacterial small subunit ribosomal RNA
Source: RNAcentral